UGGGGGAUAUUGGUCAAUGGACGGAAGUCUGAACCAGCCAUGCCGCGUGCAGGAAGACGGCCCUAUGGGUUGUAAACUGCUUUUGCAGGGGAAUAAACCUCUCUACGUGUAGAGAGUUGAAUGUACUCUGAGAAUAAGGAUCGGCUAACUCCGUGCCAGCAGCCGCGGUAAUACGGAGGAUCCGAGCGUUAUCCGGAUUUAUUGGGUUUAAAGGGUGCGUAGGUGGCCUGUUAAGUCAGGGGUGAAAGACGGUAGCUCAACUAUCGCAGUGCCCUUGAUACUGAUGGGCUUGAAUGAACUAGAGGUAGGCGGAAUGUGACAAGUAGCGGUGAAAUGCAUAGAUAUGUCACAGAACACCAAUUGCGAAGGCAGCUUACUAUGGUUUUAUUGACACUGAGGCACGAAAGCGUGGGGAUCAAAC
RNAcentral lists this ribosomal RNA (421 nucleotides) under uncultured bacterium. RNAcentral's name for it is "bacterial SSU rRNA". It matches the Rfam family "Bacterial small subunit ribosomal RNA", at positions 355 to 773 of the family's 1533-position model. The record is from RNAcentral.